This 297-nucleotide unclassified non-coding RNA is filed under the name plant metagenome. Its description in RNAcentral is "partial contains small subunit ribosomal RNA, internal transcribed spacer 1, and 5.8S ribosomal RNA". The stretch from base 1 to 54 matches the Rfam family "Eukaryotic small subunit ribosomal RNA", at positions 1778 to 1831 of the family's 1831-position model. The record is from RNAcentral.
GGAAGUAAAAAUCGUAACAAGGUUUCCGUAGGUGAACCUGCGGAAGGAUCAUUAACAAAUCCAUGUUGUUGUUGUGUUGAUUGCUUUUGUUGAUGUGCACAUCAUGUUUGUUCAGAUUCUGUUCAAAUAUGCGUGUACAUUAAUGAUGCAUUCAUUACAAACAAACACAUUAGUUCCAUAUAUGUGUACGCAUUCAUUUUGUGUGCACAUAUUGUGAUACAUUUCUACGAAUCGUCUGAUUUAUUCAUUUCAAAUCAUAUUAAACAAUAACUUUUAACAAUGGAUCUCUAGGCUCUU